UUUUAGCUUGAAUUGAUCAAUCUGGCCUUAGCCUGGGAACCCCAAAGCCUACACCCACAGACCCUAAUAAAGGCAUCUUGAAACUCUGCC
This is a non-coding RNA of Ceratotherium simum simum (southern white rhinoceros), 90 nucleotides long. Lineage: Eukaryota; Metazoa; Chordata; Mammalia; Perissodactyla; Rhinocerotidae. The record is from RefSeq and is a predicted model, not a curated record.